AGAAUCCAGUUCUUUAGCAUUCACUGCUGUCAUUAUGACUCAGCUUGCCAAUCUGGGCACAAAGAAGCUAGAUACAAGUAGGUCAAGGCAAGGACAUGCUGACCAAAGUCAAUCACGAUUGUUUGAGCUGCCUCCUGACUUCCCUCCCAAGAUGGAGAGUUAUUUAAGGACCCAUGCAUUGUGUUUGUUUCUAUACCCCUAUCACCGAGCUAUGCGCCCGGUACGUGGUAAGUGUUUUGAUUUCCUGUGGCCGAGAGAUGAGAAACAACACCCUAGAAGAGAGGGAGACACAGUGAUGGCGGGAGAUUCAACAAUGGAUGGCUUGGCAUAGAAGUCAAGAGGGACACAUGGCUCUAUUCAUUACAGAAACCCAAUAUGUAACAACAGAAAUUCAUAGGGAAGAAAUAACUUUUCAUUCUCUACAUCCUCAUUCAUUCAACAAAUAUUUAUUGAACGUCGAUUUUGCAUGAGACUAUGAGGCAGAGUUAAGCAAUGAACUUCGAGUCUAUCCUUCUUCCACUGAACCCAGUUCAAUCUGGGAAGGAUGGAUGAGGAGCCCUGAAAUGGAAGUCACUGUAAAGUCAUCCCUUUUUCCUUCAAGGAGCUCAAAGCCUGGCUGGAGAGACAAGAUUAGAAAGCAAGGAGUAAUUAUACAUUUAAGCAAAUAUUUACUCAGGGCUUGCUCUACAUCGGAAACCACACUAGGUAUGAGGACACAAUGCUGAGCUGAACCAGACAGGUGAGACCGCUGCUCUCAGGAUGACUCAUGGGAGGACCGUUCCCAGACCUAGAAGCACAUCUGCUACCAAGACAUUAUCAGGACUUUCGAUUCUGGGGAAAGAUUUCUGGACUGGGAGUCUGGAGACCCGAGUUCUAAUCCUACCCCUGCUGGUGACUUGCUCAGUUCCCAUCAGUGGAUCUUCUCUAAACCCGUCAGCCUCUGCCCUCUCCUCUUUGAAUGUCUUCUAUAUGGGCACAGAUGGAGUGAUUGCUCAUUUUGUUUAGGAAAUCAAUUUGAUUUGACUUCCUGAUUGUUAAGCACAGCCAUUGUUACAAAUUAAA
Molecule: long non-coding RNA, 1062 nt
Filed under: Equus caballus (horse)
Lineage: Eukaryota; Metazoa; Chordata; Mammalia; Perissodactyla; Equidae
Description: lncRNA (ENSECAG00000055177.1)
Source: RNAcentral